GACGAACGCUGGCGGCGUGCCUAAUACAUGCAAGUAGAACGCUGAAGGAGGAGCUUGCUCUUCUGGAUGAGUUGCGAACGGGUGAGUAACGCGUAGGUAACCUGCCUGGUAGCGGGGGAUAACUAUUGGAAACGAUAGCUAAUACCGCAUAAGAGUAGAUGUUGCAUGACAUUUACUUAAAAGGUGCAAUUGCAUCACUACCAGAUGGACCUGCGUUGUAUUAGCUAGUUGGUGGGGUAACGGCUUACCAAGGCGACGAUACAUAGCCGACCUGAGAGGGUGAUCGGCCACACUGGGACUGAGACACGGCCCAGACUCCUACGGGAGGCAGCAGUAGGGAAUCUUCGGCAAUAGACGGAAGUCUGACCGAGCAACGCCGCGUGAGUGAAGAAGGUUUUCGGAUCGUAAAGCUCUGUUGUAAGAGAAGAACGAGUGUGAGAGUGGAAAGUUCACACUGUGACGGUAGCUUACCAGAAAGGGACGGCUAACUACGUG
This 495-nucleotide ribosomal RNA is filed under the name uncultured bacterium. RNAcentral describes it as "partial 16S ribosomal RNA". It matches the Rfam family "Bacterial small subunit ribosomal RNA", at positions 28 to 507 of the family's 1533-position model. The record is from RNAcentral.